AAAAGACUUAGUCCUAACCUUACAGUUAAUUUUUACCAGACAUAUACAUGCAAGUAUCCGCACACCAGUGUAAAUGCCCUAACAUCCUUCCACCAAGGCAUGAGGAGCAGGCAUCAGGCACACCCCCCCCCCACCGUAGCCCAAAACGCCUUGCUUAAGCCACACCCCCACGGGUAUUCAGCAGUAAUUGACAUUAAGCAAUAAGUGAAAACUUGACUUAGCCAUGGUUAACCCUAGGGUCGGUAAAUCUUGUGCCAGCCACCGCGGCCAUACAAGAGACCCAAAUUAACUGUCCAUCCGGCGUAAAGAGUGGCAAGAUGCUAUCCCACCAACUAAGAUCAAAAUGCAACCAAGCUGUCAUAAGCCCAAGACGCACCUAAACCCACCCCCAAAAUAGAUCCUAGCGCCUGCGACCAAUUUCAACCCACGAAAGCUAGGGCACAAACUGGGAUUAGAUACCCCACUAUGCCUAGCCCUAAAUCCAGAUACUUCUCCCACCAAAGUAUCCGCCCGGGAACUACGAGCACAAACGCUUAAAACCCUAAGGACUUGGCGGUGUCCCAAACCCACCUAGAGGAGCCUGUUCUAUAACCGAUAACCCACGAUGCACCCAACCACCUCUCGCCAGCACAGCCUACAUACCGCCGUCGCCAGCUCACCUCCCCUGAAAGUCCCACAGUGAGCCCAAUAGUCUACCCCACUAGCAAGACAGGUCAAGGUAUAGCCUAUGAGAUGGAAGAAAUGGGCUACAUUUUCUAGCAUAGAACACACGGCAACGGGGCAUGAAACCGCCCCCAGAAGGAGGAUUUAGCAGUAAAGUUGAACAAUAGAGUCCACUUUAAACCGGCUCUGGGACACGUACAUACCGCCCGUCACCCUCUUCACAGGCCCACCUACCCACAUAAAUAAUCAACUCUACAAUCAAGCCAAAGACGAGGUAAGUCGUAACAAGGUAAGUGUACCGGAAGGUGCACUUAGAACA
RNAcentral lists this non-coding RNA (982 nucleotides) under Chamaepetes goudotii. RNAcentral's name for it is "12S ribosomal RNA". It matches the Rfam family "Bacterial small subunit ribosomal RNA". Lineage: Eukaryota; Metazoa; Chordata; Aves; Galliformes; Cracidae. The record is from RNAcentral.